Molecule: ribosomal RNA, 851 nt
Filed under: uncultured Gemmatimonadota bacterium
Lineage: Bacteria; Pseudomonadati; Gemmatimonadota
Description: bacterial SSU rRNA
Rfam family: Bacterial small subunit ribosomal RNA
Source: RNAcentral
CCGCGGGAUUAGAGUUUGAUCCUGGCUCAGGACGAACGCUGGCGGCGUGCUUAACACAUGCAAGUCAAGGGGGCCCGCAAGGGCAACCGGCGAACGGGUGCGUAACACGUGAGCAACCUGCCUAAAUGUGGGGGAUAGCCGGCCCAACGGCCGGGUAAUACCGCAUACGCUCUCUGGGUGGCAUCACCUGGUGAGGAAACCUACGGGCAUUUAGAGGGGCUCGCGGCCUAUCAGCUAGUUGGUGGGGUAAUGGCCUACCAAGGCAUCGACGGGUAGCUGGUCUGAGAGGAUGGCCAGCCACAUUGGGACUGAGAUACGGCCCAGACUCCUACGGGAGGCAGCAGUGGGGAAUAUUGCGCAAUGGGCGAAAGCCUGACGCAGCGACGCCGCGUGGGGGAUGAAGCAUUUCGGUGUGUAAACCCCUGUUGCUCGGGACGAAAAACUGGUUCUGACCAGUCUGACGGUACCGGGUGAGGAAGCACCGGCUAACUCCGUGCCAGCAGCCGCGGUAAUACGGAGGGUGCGAGCGUUGUCCGGAAUCACUGGGCGUAAAGGGCGCGUAGGCGGUCUGUUAAGCGUGUGGUGAAAGCUCGGGGCUCAACCCCGAGUCUGCCAUGCGAACUGGUGGACUUGAGCACUGUAGAGGCAGGUGGAAUUCCGGGUGUAGCGGUGGAAUGCGUAGAGAUCCGGAAGAACACCGGUGGCGAAGGCGGCCUACUGGGCAGUUGCUGACGCUGAGGCGCGACAGCGUGGGGAGCAAACAGGAUUAGAUACCCUGGUAGUCCACGCCGUAAACGAUGGGCACUAGGUGCUUGGGGGAGCGACCCCCCGAGUGCCGGCGCUAACGCAUU